This 116-nucleotide ribosomal RNA is filed under the name Halomonas sp. GD1P12. RNAcentral also lists the same sequence under 3 other names. The record is from RNAcentral. Lineage: Bacteria; Pseudomonadati; Pseudomonadota; Gammaproteobacteria; Oceanospirillales; Halomonadaceae.
CCUGACGACCAUGGCUUGCGUGAACCACCCGAUCCCUUGCCGAACUCGGAAGUGAAACCGCAACGCGCCGAUGGUAGUGUGGGGUCUCCCCAUGCGAGAGUAGGUUAUCGUCAGGC